This 301-nucleotide ribosomal RNA is filed under the name uncultured bacterium. RNAcentral describes it as "partial 16S ribosomal RNA". It matches the Rfam family "Bacterial small subunit ribosomal RNA", at positions 509 to 808 of the family's 1533-position model. The record is from RNAcentral.
CAGCGCCACGGUAAUACGAGGGGGGCAAGCGUUGUUCGGAAUUAUUGGGCGUAAAUGGUGCGUAGGCGGUUUGACAAGUCAUCUGUGAAAUCUAUGGGCUCAACCCAUAGUCUGCAGGCGAAACUGUCGGGCUUGAGUAUGGGAGAGGUGAGUGGAAUUUCCGGUGUAGCGGUGAAAUGCGUAGAUAUCGGAAGGAACACCUGUGGCGAAAGCGGCUCACUGGACCAUAACUGACGCUGAGGCACGAAAGCUAGGGGAGCAAACAGGAUUAGAUACCCCUGUAGUCCCUGUCUCUUAUACA